AUUUUUUUGGGUAACCUUAAUAAUUUAAAUUUAGAUUUUCCAUAAAUUAUAAUUCAAAAAAAAAAA
This 66-nucleotide transfer RNA is filed under the name Pselaphanus sp. QL-2013. RNAcentral describes it as "tRNA-Leu". The record is from RNAcentral. Lineage: Eukaryota; Metazoa; Arthropoda; Insecta; Hymenoptera; Braconidae.